RNAcentral lists this long non-coding RNA (1178 nucleotides) under Ursus americanus (American black bear). Its description in RNAcentral is "lncRNA (ENSUAMG00000023763.1)". The record is from RNAcentral. Lineage: Eukaryota; Metazoa; Chordata; Mammalia; Carnivora; Ursidae.
CCGCGUUUAUAAACAGAAUGAUGAGCUUGAGUUUGUCUAAAAAAAAAAAAACUUAUUUAUUUUAUUGAAUGCUUUCAUGUAAAUGUGAACUUUUUAUGAUAGAAGGCAGCCAGUUUUCUGGGUGAAGUUGUUUUCUGUAUCACCAUUUUCUUAACAUGUUAAAUGAAUCAACGAUAGCACUUCAUGAACCCCCCCCCAAAAUUUCAGGGUAGGUUUCUACUUUCCUUGUCACCCCAUAACUUUUCAUUUUAAAAAGAAAUUUAAGAAAUUAACAACAUUUAGAAUUGCUAUUACAAAAUAUCACUGUUAUAUCCCAAAGUAAAAAAGUCACAUUUACAAUAAAUUAUUGUAAGCAAACAUGUAUGAACGACCAGAGUACAAAAAACGCAAUUUUCAGAUCAAAUAUAUUUAAAUUAAUUUUAAUAAGUACAAAAAGAUAAUGUUUAGCAUUAAUUUGCAUGUGAUUGAUUAGUAUUUUUUUUUAAACAGCAAGCAUAAUGACACAUUCAAUAAAGGUCAAAUUAUCUUACAUAUGUAAAAAAUAGUGACUUUUCCCAAUUACAACAAGGUCACAAAUUACAAAUAUUAUUAGCUCUCAAAUGAUUUUCUCAAAUGAGAAAACCUACCAUACAAUUAUAUUGUCACCCAGAAAAUUUCAAAUUUCACCUAAUGUGAAUAUUCAAAGUUUAGUGUUGGAGCUGUAUCAUGCAUUCUCUAUGCAUGUAAUUUUAUUAUUAAUGUGUAGCAAGGGGAAAACAUUUCAUUGCUUUCUGGGUUGUUGUUUUUUUCCAAAUUUAGCAACAAAUAUGAAGCUUUCGUAAAUUUUCAUGCAUGUCAACUCUAAAGGGAAUAUUUCAUGGAAGGUCACAUUCCUCAUUUUAGAGCACAGCAAAACCUGAAUUUGUAUCUGCUCAGAAGAAGCUUGAAAAAAAUCGGAUACCAACAAACUCGAAAUCAAUUAUGGAGCAGGCACCUAAGAUCAAUAAGUAAUCGAGGACUUAUCCAUGGAUGGUAAAGUUUAAUUCAUAAAAAUUGUGGCUCGAAGUUCAGUUUCAUUCAAGCCAUUCUAAUUACACAUUAAACUUCUUCACACAUUAUGCAGAGUUUAAAACACAGCCAAAUAUUUAAACUACUAUGUUGAAUAUUUUUGAAAUAAAUAAAUGGGAACGAAUCUAUCA